UGGGGAAUUUUGGACAAUGGGCGAAAGCCUGAUCCAGCAAUGCCGCGUGUGUGAAGAAGGCCUUCGGGUUGUAAAGCACUUUUGUCCGGAAAGAAAUCCUUGGCUCUAAUACAGUCGGGGGAUGACGGUACCGGAAGAAUAAGCACCGGCUAACUACGUGCCAGCAGCCGCGGUAAUACGUAGGGUGCAAGCGUUAAUCGGAAUUACUGGGCGUAAAGCGUGCGCAGGCGGUUUGCUAAGACCGAUGUGAAAUCCCCGGGCUCAACCUGGGAACUGCAUUGGUGACUGGCAGGCUAGAGUAUGGCAGAGGGGGGUAGAAUUCCACGUGUAGCAGUGAAAUGCGUAGAGAUGUGGAGGAAUACCGAUGGCGAAGGCAGCCCCCUGGGCCAAUACUGACGCUCAUGCACGAAAGCGUGGGGAGCAAACAGGAUUAGAUACCCUGGUAGUCCACGCCCUAAACGAUGUCAACUAGUUGUUGGGGGAUUCAUUUUCCUUAGUAACGUAGCUAACGCGUGAAGUUGACCGCCUGGGGAGUACGGUCGCAAGAUUAAAACUUAAAUGAAUUGACGGGGUCAUAGCUGUUUCCU
Molecule: ribosomal RNA, 587 nt
Filed under: uncultured bacterium
Lineage: Bacteria
Description: partial 16S ribosomal RNA
Rfam family: Bacterial small subunit ribosomal RNA
Source: RNAcentral